Mercenaria mercenaria is the source of this 389-nucleotide long non-coding RNA. RefSeq lists it as uncharacterized. The transcript is spliced from 3 exons. The record is from RefSeq and is a predicted model, not a curated record. NCBI's taxonomy places the organism in Eukaryota, Metazoa, Mollusca, Bivalvia, Venerida, Veneridae.
CACCUUGAAAGAAUGACAAUUAUUGUGCUGGCCAGCUAGGUAGUUUGUGACCAUGGAAGAGAAUGACCCCCUGGCAAGACAUGAAUCUGCAGCUGCAAGGGCCAAAUGUGUGGAAGUUACAUACACAAACCAUCCACCACUUAAUGUCUAGAUGAUUUUAGUGUCUGGGAUGUAUCUUAGUAAAACAACACAAAAGACACAGGCAUUUUUUGAUGCAUGAAUGUUGAGAGUUUUUGAUGGGCCCACUUGAUUGCCCAGUGUGUGACCAGUACUUGUUAGUCUUAUCAAGAUUAAGAGAACAUGUUCCCACCAGUGGCAAAAGGCUGGUAACAUCUAGGAAGUUUGCCUGUGUCUUGUUGAUCUCGGAAGUAAACUUAUUUGAGCCGUGC